UUUCCUUCGGGACUGAUUAUUUUGUGACUGAGUGGCGGACGGGUGAGUAACGCGUGGGUAACCUGCCUUGUACAGGGGGAUAACAGUUGGAAACGGCUGCUAAUACCGCAUAAGCGCACAGCAUCGCACGAUGCAGUGUGGAAAACUCCGGUGGUAUAAGAUGGACCCGCGUUGGAUUAGCUAGUUGGUGAGGUAACGGCCCACCAAGGCGGCGAUCCAUAGCCGACCUGAGAGGGUGACCGGCCACAUUGGGACUGAGAGACGGUCCAGACUCC
RNAcentral lists this ribosomal RNA (275 nucleotides) under uncultured Eubacteriales bacterium. RNAcentral's name for it is "uncultured Clostridiales bacterium partial 16S ribosomal RNA". It matches the Rfam family "Bacterial small subunit ribosomal RNA", at positions 74 to 339 of the family's 1533-position model. Lineage: Bacteria; Bacillati; Bacillota; Clostridia; Eubacteriales. The record is from RNAcentral.